RNAcentral lists this ribosomal RNA (1696 nucleotides) under Pteragogus flagellifer (cocktail wrasse). RNAcentral describes it as "16S ribosomal RNA". It matches the Rfam family "Bacterial large subunit ribosomal RNA". The record is from RNAcentral. Lineage: Eukaryota; Metazoa; Chordata; Actinopteri; Labriformes; Labridae.
CGCUAAAUAGCUAGCCCGCCCCCCAAAAGACAACAACCCCUAUUAAUAACCCCGCAUACUGCACAUUCCAUAAAACAAACCAUUUUUCCCCCUUAGUAUGGGAGACAGAAAAGGCCCCAGGCGCUAUAGUGAAAGUACCGCAAGGGAAAGCUGAAAGAGAAAUGAAAUAAUCCAGUAAGGCAUCGAAAAGCAGAGAUUAUCCCUCGUACCUUUUGCAUCAUGACUUAGCCAGAAUUUCCGAGCAAAACGCCUUUUAGUUUGAAGCCCCGAAACUAGGUGAGCUACUCCAAGCCCGCCUAUAAGAAUAGGGCAAACCCUUCUCUGUGGCAAAAGAGUGGGAAGAGCUUUGAGUAGAGGUGACAGACCUACCGAACCUAGUUAUAGCUGGUUGCCCAGGAUGUGGAUAGAAGUUCAGCCUUUUGGGUUCUUUAAUUACCUUACUACCAGUCCCCUUAAUACAAAAGAAACCAAAGGAGUUAGUCAAAAGGGGUACAGCCCUUUUGAAGAAAGAUACAACUUUUCUAGGAGGAAAAAGAUCAUAGUUACCAAGGAAAGAUGUCCCCGUGGGCUUAAAAGCAGCCACCCAUUAAGAAAGCGUUAAAGCUUAUACAUCCCUUUGGCCUUAAAUCCCGACCAAAAAAUCUUUACCCCCUAAUAUUUUACUGGGCCGUCCCCUGUCAAUCAGGGGAGUGACCAUGCUAACAUGAGUAAUAAGAGGGCGUGACCCUCUCCUUUGCACCCCCAUAAAUCGGAACGAACCUGCACCGAGUAUUAACCGGCCCCAAUAAAAGAGGGCACUAGGCUUUAAGUAACAAUACGAGAAAAGCGCCUAGCCUCUACCGUUAACCCCACACUGGUGUGCUUCUUAGGAAAGACUAAAAGGAAGAAAAGGAACUCGGCAAACCCAAGCCUCGCCUGUUUACCAAAAACAUCGCCUCUUGUGAAUAUCAAAUAAGAGGUCCCGCCUGCCCAGUGACUUUCACCAGUUUAACGGCCGCGGUAUUUUGACCGUGCAAAGGUAGCGCAAUCACUUGUCUUUUAAAUGAAGACCUGUAUGAAUGGCAUCACGAGGGCUUAACUGUCUCCUCUUGUAAGUCAAUGAAAUUGAUCUCCCCGUGCAGAAGCGGGCAUACUCCCACAAGACGAGAAGACCCUAUGAAGCUUUAGAUAUCGAGACAGCUCACGCCAAAUAAGCCCUUUUAAGGGUCCGAGCUAAGUGACCCUCUUUCUCAUUGUCUUUGGUUGGGGCGACCAUGGGGAAAUAAAAAACCCCCACGCGGAAUGGGACAACCCCCUCCUCCUCCUAGAGCUCAGAGCGCCUGCUCUAAGCAACAGAAACUUUGACCUACAAGAUCCGGCACUGCCGAUCAACGGACCGAGUUACUCUAGGGAUAACAGCGCAAUCCCCUUUUAGAGUCCCCAUCGCCAAGGGGGUUUACGACCUCGAUGUUGGAUCAGGACAUCCUAAUGGUGCAGCCGCUAUUAAGGGUUCGUUUGUUCAACGAUUAACAGUCCUACGUGAUCUGAGUUCAGACCGGAGUAAUCCAGGUCAGUUUCUAUCUGUGCAAUACACUUUUCUAGUACGAAAGGAUCGAAAAGGGGAGGCCUAUGCUCUAGGUACGCCUUGUCCUUACCUAAUGAAAUCAACUAAAGUAGAUAAUGGGAUAUAACCAACAAGCCAGAAACCACGGCAGAU